Molecule: non-coding RNA, 999 nt
Organism: Danio rerio (zebrafish)
Lineage: Eukaryota; Metazoa; Chordata; Actinopteri; Cypriniformes; Danionidae
Source: RefSeq, a predicted model, not a curated record
UUUCCGUAGUUCUACUCUAUAAAUAUCUCCAGCCGCUCUUCUGUGUGGGUUUAUUCCUGCUUCUGCAAUGAAGACCCUGAAUGACGGACUUUCUCUUAGGAAACCACCAUGAUAUUCCACUUUCAGACGUAACUCUGGCCUCGAUGCCACUGUUGUGCCAAAAGUGGGCAGAAAGAAACUGGCUUGUGAUCGACCCUGCUGUCCUGCUCUGUGGACUAGGGGCUUGGAACGAGGCCGAAUAUUCAAACCCAGACCUAUUGAAAUGCAUUCUCCUGGACUGUCCUGCUUUUAAUGAUUGCACAAGACUACAUGAAAUGAACCCGCUUAAGGAGAUAUUCAGCAAAGUGUCGCCAGGAAAAAUGUUUCCAGCAUUUUUCAAAAUAUCUUGUGUUCACUGGAAGAAAAACACAACUAGACUUUGAACAGAAAGACGAAAAGUAAAUGAUGACGCAAUUUGAAGUUUUUGGUGAACUGUCCCUUUAAGCCAGUCCAACCCUGAACAGAUUGCCUGCACUGCAAGCUGGACUAACGCUUGGCAACCCCAUGAAGUAAGUCAGCUGACUGCAGUAUUUACAACUGGUGUGUAUCAUAUACCUGUAUUUCACUCAAUCUUCUUCUUUUUUUUUUUUUGGCCAUGAUGGAGUGGACCAGGGGUCUGUUCUUCGUACCUUGCUUAAAUGAUCUAAGAUGAUUUGACAGAUCCUGGAUGUGUUAAUCUUGAUGACUGGUGUCUGGCUAAUUUGGUUCUUUUGGUACAAGUUGACGAAUCAGAUUAAAAUGUCUGGAUGAACUGAUCUGGGAUCACUGCACGCAUUUUUAAAGACCGAUCAUUUGAUCCUCGAAAUCAUGAUCACUUGAUCAGCAAUGCAAUGACUGGCUGACGGCACAGAAGCGUAUUGACAUCAUCUGAUUGAUAUUCAAUUAUUCAUGUGAGCAAAAUUACAUAAAAUUCAUAGUAAACCAUUAGUUAAAUAUAAUAAACAAUAACUUUCCACCUUU